UCCCCCUACUGAGAGCCUCAUUAGCGUU
Molecule: non-coding RNA, 28 nt
Filed under: Rattus norvegicus (Norway rat)
Lineage: Eukaryota; Metazoa; Chordata; Mammalia; Rodentia; Muridae
Source: RNAcentral